Molecule: transfer RNA, 72 nt
Filed under: Neotoma lepida (desert woodrat)
Lineage: Eukaryota; Metazoa; Chordata; Mammalia; Rodentia; Cricetidae
Rfam family: tRNA
About the family: Transfer RNA (tRNA) molecules are approximately 80 nucleotides in length. Their secondary structure includes four short double-helical elements and three loops (D, anti-codon, and T loops).
Source: Rfam by way of RNAcentral
GGGGCUGUAGUUCAGUGGUAGAGUUCUUGCCUAGCGUGUAUGAGGUCCUGGGAUUGAUUCCCAGCAUACACA